GACGAACGCUGGCGGCGUGCUUAACACAUGCAAGUCGAGCGGAAAGGCCUCUUCGGGGGUACUCGAGCGGCGAACGGGUGAGUAACACGUGAGUAACCUGCCCCUGACUUUGGGAUAAGCCUGGGAAACUGGGUCUAAUACUGGAUAUUCAUGUCCUGCCGCAUGGUGGGGUGUGGAAAGAUUUUUUGGUUGGGGAUGGGCUCGCGGUCUAUCAGCUUGUUGGUGGGGUAAUGGCUUACCAAGGCUUUGACGGGUAGCCGGCCUGAGAGGGUGUCCGGCCACACUGGGACUGAGACACGGCCCAGACUCCUACGGGAGGCAGCAGUGGGGAAUAUUGCGCAAUGGGCGGAAGCCUGACGCAGCGACGCCGCGUGGGGGAUGACGGCCUUCGGGUUGUAAACCUCUUUCGACAGUGACGAAGCCUUUGGGUGACGGUAGCUGUAGAAGAAGCACCGGCCAACUACGUGCCAGCAGCCGCGGUAAUACGUAGGGUGCAAGCGUUGUCCGGAUUUAUUGGGCGUAAAGAGCUCGUAGGCGGUGUGUCGCGUCGAAAGUGAAAACUGCUGGCUUAACCGGCAGCUUGCUUUCGGUACGGGCAUGCUUGAGUGUGGUAGGGGAGACUGGAAUUCCUGGUGUAGCGGGUGAAAUGCGCAGAUAUCAGGAGGAACACCGGUGGCGAAGGCGGGUCUCUGGGCCAUUACUGACGCUGAGGAGCGAAAGCGUGGGGAGCGAACAGGAUUAGAUACCCUGGUAGUCCACGCUGUAAACGUUGGGCGCUAGGUGUGGCGACUGGUUCACGGUUGCUGUGCCGUAGCUAACGCAUUAAGCGCCCCGCCUGGGGAGUACGGCCGCAAGGCUAAAACUCAAAGGAAUUGACGGGGGCCCGCACAAGCGGCGGAGCAUGCGGCUUAAUUCGAUGCAACGCGAAGAACCUUACCUGGGCUUGACAUAUAUCGAAAACUCGCAGAGAUGCGGGGUCCUUCGGGGCGGUAUACAGGUGGUGCAUGGUUGUCGUCAGCUCGUGUCGUGAGAUGUUGGGUUAAGUCCCGCAACGAGCGCAACCCUUGCUCCAUGUUGCCAGCACGUGAUGGUGGGGACUCAUGGGGGACUGCCGGGGUCAACUCGGAGGAAGGUGGGGAUGACGUCAAAUCAUCAUGCCCUUUAUGUCCAGGGCUGCACGCAUGCUACAAUGGCCGGCACAAAGAGCUGCGAUACCGUGAGGUGGAGCGAAUCUCAAAAAACCGGUCUCAGUUCGGAUCGAAGUCUGCAACUCGACUUCGUGAAGUUGGAGUCGCUAGUAAUCGCAGAUCAGCAACGCUGCGGUGAAUACGUUCCCGGGCCUUGUACACACCGC
This 1354-nucleotide ribosomal RNA is filed under the name uncultured bacterium. RNAcentral's name for it is "bacterial SSU rRNA". It matches the Rfam family "Bacterial small subunit ribosomal RNA", at positions 28 to 1393 of the family's 1533-position model. The record is from RNAcentral.